GACGAACGCUGGCGGCGUGCCUAACACAUGCAAGUCGAACGGAGUAAAACGCUGAUUUGAAGUUAGUUUACUAAUGAAUUUUCUUGUUUUACUUAGUGGCGGACGGUGAGUAACGCGUGAGGAACCCUGCCCUUCAGAGGGGGACAACAGUUGGAAACGACUGCUAAUACCGCAUGAUGUACAUUUGGGACAUCCCUUAUGUACCAAAGGAGCAAUCCGCUGAAGGAUGGCCUCGCGUCCGAUUAGAUAGUUGGUGGGGUAACGGCCCACCAAGUCGACGAUCGGUAGCCGGACUGAGAGGUUGAACGGCCACAUUGGGACUGAGACACGGCCCAGACUCCUACGGGAGGCAGCAUGGGGAUAUUGCACAAAUGGGGGAAACCCUGAUGCAGCGACGCCGCGUGAGGGAAGACGGUUUUCGGAUUGUAAAACCUCUGUCUUCGGGGACGAACAAAUGACGGUACCCGAGGAGGAAGCCACGGCUAACUACGUG
This 493-nucleotide ribosomal RNA is filed under the name uncultured bacterium. Its description in RNAcentral is "bacterial SSU rRNA". It matches the Rfam family "Bacterial small subunit ribosomal RNA", at positions 28 to 507 of the family's 1533-position model. The record is from RNAcentral.